Molecule: ribosomal RNA, 633 nt
Filed under: uncultured bacterium
Lineage: Bacteria
Description: bacterial SSU rRNA
Rfam family: Bacterial small subunit ribosomal RNA
Source: RNAcentral
AUUAGCUGGUUGGUGAGGUAACGGCCCACCAAGGCGACGAUGCAUAGCCGGCCUGAGAGGGCGGACGGCCACAUUGGGACUGAGACACGGUCCACAUUUAUACGGGAGGCAGCAGUGGGGAAUAUUGCACAAUGGGGGAAACCCUGAUGCAGCGACGCCGCGUGAGCGAAGAAGUAUUUCGGUAUGUAAAGCUCUAUCAGCAGGGAAGAAAAUGACGGUACCUGACUAAGAAGCCCCGGCUAAAUACGUGCCAGCAGCCGCGGUAAUACGUAUGGGGCAAGCGUUAUCCGGAUUUACUGGGUGUAAAGGGAGCGCAGGCGGCUUGGCAAGUCUGAUGUGAAAGGCUGGGGCUCAACCCCAGGACUGCAUUGGAAACUGUUAGGCUGGAGUGUCGGAGAGGUAAGCGGAAUUCCUAGUGUAGCGGUGAAAUGCGUAGAUAUUACGAGGAACACCAGUGGCGAAGGCGGCUUACUGGACGACAACUGACGCUGAGGCUCGAAAGCGUGGGGAGCAAACAGGAUUAGAUACCCUGGUAGUCCACGCCGUACACGAUGAAUACUAGGUGUCGGUGGGCAAAGCCCAUCGGUGCCGCAGCAAACGCAGUAAGUAUUCCACCUGCGGAGUACGUUCGCA